Molecule: long non-coding RNA, 377 nt
Filed under: Bos taurus (domestic cattle)
Lineage: Eukaryota; Metazoa; Chordata; Mammalia; Artiodactyla; Bovidae
Description: long non-coding RNA NONBTAT013965
Source: RNAcentral
AUGCCGUCCGAGAAAACCUUCAAACAGCGCCGAACCUUCGAACAAAGAGUAGAAGAUGUCCGACUUAUCCGAGAGCAGCAUCCUACCAAAAUCCCGGUAAUAAUAGAACGAUACAAAGGUGAGAAACAGCUUCCUGUCCUGGAUAAAACAAAGUUUCUGGUGCCUGAUCAUGUCAACAUGAGUGAGCUCAUCAAGAUAAUAAGAAGGCGCUUACAGCUCAAUGCUGAUAAGCCUUCUUCCUGUUAGUGAAUGGACAUAGCAUGGUGAGUGUGUCCACUCCGAUUUGUGAAGUGUAUGAAAGCGAGAAGGAUGAAGAUGGAUUCCUGUAUAUGGUAUACGCCUCUCAGGAGACUUUUGGAAUGAAAUUAUCUGUGUAA